UAACUGUAUAUAAUUAUACCUGAGUAGUAAUAGUUAAGAUCUUGAAACUCAAAAAAUUUGGCGGUAUUUUAGUCUAUUUAGAGGAACCUGUAGUAUAAUCGAUAAUCCACGAUGGACCUCACUUAACUUUGUUUUUCAGUUUGUAUACCGCUGUUAUUUGAAAAUUUUAUAAGAAUAUUAAUUUUCAUAAUUUUAGAUAAAAAAAAUAAAUCAGGUCAAGGUGCAGCUUAUAGUUAAGAAUUUAUGGGUUACAAUAAAUUUAUUUAUAUGGAUUAGAGUGUGAAAUUACUUUAUGAAAGCGGAUUUAAUAGUAAAUUUUUAAAGAUAAAAUAAUUGAUUUUAGCUCUAAAAUAUGCACACAUCGCCCGUCGCUCUUGUUAUAAUAUAAGAUAAGUCGUAACAUAGUAGAUGUACUGGAAAGUGUAUCUAGAAUGACAAUUUAAAGCUUUUUUAGUAAAGCAUUUCAUUUACACUGAAAAGAUUAUUGUGCAAAUCAAUAUAAAUUGAUAAUAUAUAAUUAUUAAUUAUAUUUUUAUUUAUAUUUUUAUUAAAAAUAAUUAUAUAAUAGUGUUAUAGUAUUUUAUAAAAAAAUAAUAAUUUUAAUUAUAGUUUAUUAAGUAUUGUGAAAGAAUUUUGAAAUAAUUGAAAAAUAUAUAAUAGAUAAGAAAACUUAAU
This 675-nucleotide ribosomal RNA is filed under the name Argyrochlamys impudicus. Its description in RNAcentral is "partial 12S ribosomal RNA". The stretch from base 1 to 437 matches the Rfam family "Microsporidia small subunit ribosomal RNA", at positions 730 to 1311 of the family's 1311-position model. Lineage: Eukaryota; Metazoa; Arthropoda; Insecta; Diptera; Dolichopodidae. The record is from RNAcentral.